GACGAACGCUGGCGGCGUGCUUAACACAUGCAAGUCGAACGGAAAGGCCCUGCUUUUGUGGGGUGCUCGAGUGGCGAACGGGUGAGUAGCACGUGAGUAACCUGCCCUUGACUUUGGGAUAACUUCAGGAAACUGGGGCUAAUACCGGAUAGGAGCUCCUGCUGCAUGGUGGGGGUUGGAAAGUUUCGGCGGUUGGGGAUGGACUCGCGGCUUAUCAGCUUGUUGGUGGGGUAGUGGCUUACCAAGGCUUUGACGGGUAGCCGGCCUGAGAGGGUGACCGGCCACAUUGGGACUGAGAUACGGCCCAGACUCCUACGGGAGGCAGCAGUGGGGAAUAUUGCACAAUGGGCGGAAGCCUGAUGCAGCAACGCCGCGUGCGGGAUGACGGCCUUCGGGUUGUAAACCGCUUUCGCCUGUGACGAAGCGUGAGUGACGGUAAUGGGUAAGAAGCACCGGCUAACUACGUG
Molecule: ribosomal RNA, 467 nt
Filed under: uncultured bacterium
Lineage: Bacteria
Description: partial 16S ribosomal RNA
Rfam family: Bacterial small subunit ribosomal RNA
Source: RNAcentral